This 384-nucleotide long non-coding RNA is filed under the name Durio zibethinus. RNAcentral's name for it is "long non-coding RNA (DZIB_LNC002161)". Lineage: Eukaryota; Viridiplantae; Streptophyta; Magnoliopsida; Malvales; Malvaceae. The record is from RNAcentral.
CAGAUUCAAAGAAAAAAAAAAAAAGAAAAAAAGAGAGACCGAAACUUUGAGCCCCGAUCUACGUCGAUCAGGGCUGUUUCCGGUAAAAAGGACACCGAAUCUGGAAAGAUCGCGUCGAAGAGAACUUCCAGAAGAAUUUUCACCUUUCCCGGUCAUCGGAAACCACCGUCCAAGACUGCCGGCGGCGAGCCAGACGGCGGCCAGCACGGUGCUCCGGCAACCGACCGACGACCUCUCCCCCAGAGCUCUCUCUCUCCCUCUCUCCCUUUUUUUCUGAAACAGAAGCCAAAUGAACCAAAAAAAAAAAUCUUCAGCUAUAUAUAGUAAAGCAAAAUCUCAAAACGACGUCGUUUAGAUAAAGACCCAAAACGACGCCGUUUCAGC